UGGCGGACCGGCGCACGGGUGCGUAACGCGUAUGCAACCUACCCAUAACAGGGGGAUAACACUGAGAAAUUGGUACUAAUACCCCAUAACAUCAGGACCGGCAUCGGUUCUGGUUGAAAACUCCGGUGGUUAUGGAUGGGCAUGCGUUGUAUUAGCUGGUUGGUGAGGUAACGGCUCACCAAGGCAACGAUACAUAGGGGGACUGAGAGGUUAACCCCCCACAUUGGUACUGAGACACGGACCAA
RNAcentral lists this ribosomal RNA (245 nucleotides) under uncultured bacterium. Its description in RNAcentral is "partial 16S ribosomal RNA". It matches the Rfam family "Bacterial small subunit ribosomal RNA", at positions 88 to 334 of the family's 1533-position model. The record is from RNAcentral.